GGAAUAUUGGACAAUGGGCGCAAGCCUGAUCCAGCAAUGCCGCGUGAGUGAUGAAGGCCUUCGGGUUGUAAAGCUCUUUCGCACGCGACGAUGACGACGGUAGCGUGAGAAGAAGCCCCGGCUAACUUCGUGCCAGCAGCCGCGGUAAUACGAAGGGGGCUAGCGUUGUUCGGAAUUACUGGGCGUAAAGGGCGCGUAGGCGGUCCCUCAAGUCAGGCGUGAAAGCCCCGGGCUCAACCUGGGAACUGCGCUUGAGACUGAUGGGCUCGAGUUCGGGAGAGGAUGGUGGAAUUCCCAGUGUAGAGGUGAAAUUCGUAGAUAUUGGGAAGAACACCGAUGGCGAAGGCAGCCAUCUGGACCGACACUGACGCUGAGGCGCGAAAGCGUGGGGAGCAAA
Molecule: ribosomal RNA, 397 nt
Filed under: uncultured bacterium
Lineage: Bacteria
Description: bacterial SSU rRNA
Rfam family: Bacterial small subunit ribosomal RNA
Source: RNAcentral